Molecule: long non-coding RNA, 2457 nt
Filed under: Gossypium raimondii (Peruvian cotton)
Lineage: Eukaryota; Viridiplantae; Streptophyta; Magnoliopsida; Malvales; Malvaceae
Description: long non-coding RNA (GRAI_LNC003905)
Source: RNAcentral
UUCUUUUCAACGUCCAAAUCAUCUUCCUGAAGACACCUUCCUCUGUUGGCAUGGCAUCUUUCGACUGUCAUCAGGCCGAUUCAUAGAUAGCUUGUAGCUAUUGUUCGCCGCUUCCGUUUAAGCCACUUGACAUGCCUGCAACUAAUCUGUAGAAGGCAUUGAAUUUUUGAGAGAAGGAAAUAUUUAGAAAGACAUUUUUUUUAAACACAGUGUAUACUAAAUAUAUUAUGCUUUCAGUCGUAAGCGCCAGCCAAAACUGCCAAAUUACAUUCAGCCUUCUGUUCUAUUUGUUUAAUCUCAACUUACAAGUAACCACUCCUAAUAAAAUAAGAGAUUGUUGAAUUAGUUCAACUUCAAAUAAAGAAUUACAUCAUUGACAAUGCCGACAUCUGGAGCAUAUUCAAAGCACUUUACCGAUCCGAGAUGUAUUAUAGUUGUUACUUUUGUACUGACAUAUAAAACACCAGCUUUUCUAAUACAGGCUCAUUCAUUCAAAAAGCAGGAUCUUAUCCAAUCAUUCCCUGUUCCAACAGACAAUGGCUUCUUUCUCAAUAGAAGAUUUUGUUGGUGAUGGGGUUCUCAAGGAAUUGAUUCCAAAGUUAUUAGAAGAAGGUUGGGAUGACGUCCCAACUUUAAAGAUCAUGAAUCCAGAGGAUAUGGAUGCAAUCAAUAUGACACAACAUCAAAAGGUUAAAAAUCUUUUCACCUCUCUAAGUAGAGUAAAUUAUCACUAUGUAUUCUUAUUUCUAUGUUCUUCAGGAUGCUCUGGAGAUCAGAACGUACCUUCAUGAUCGAGCUCUGAUGCAAUAUGGAGAUAAGUUAGAGGCCUCCAGGAAAAGCCUACCUGAGCUCCUUAACUUAAGCACCGAGGAUCUGUCUUCGCAAUUUGGCAUGAGAAGGGGCCACAUUGCACGUUUCACAGAUAGAAACAAUAAAUGCACCGAUCCUCUACCCAAAUCUUAUGGCCUCCCUGCAAGGAAACUCACAGUUACACCAUCUAGAAGUAACACCAUUUAUAAGAUGCAAACCAUAAGAAAAUCCUUCUGCAGGAGCAGCACAAACAAUGACAGGUCGCUGGAAGAAUCACUGGCUGAUUUCAAGAUUAAAGAUCGAUACAUAUUUAAAGGGAUUGUUGCUGCAGGACCAGCUGAGCCUCGAGCAUGCGGUUGCAUUCAACCUCCUCCUGUGGUUGACAAUGUGGCACCCUACUCUGCUAUUGAAAACAUAUCAGUUCAGAGAUUAACUCCUGAGUAUAAGAUUGGAAUGGAGCGUUUGGUGAAAACCAAGACUCCACCUAUGAAAGCUUCAGAACUCUGGCGAGAUAAGCCGGCUGUUCUCCUAUGCAUUCGACGGCCAGGGUAAAGUCACUUAUCAUAUCCUACUAUUUCCUUUAACUGAUCCAUAAAAUAAAAGCAAAGAUAUAUUCAGUGAUAAGAACUGAGUGUCUUGCAUAAUCACUCGUUGAUAUGUUUAGAUGAAAGGAACCAUUUAUUUUACUGACAUGGAAACUAUGAUAAAUCUUUUGCCACAUGAUUACAGGUGCAUUAUGUGCAGAGCUGAAGCUCACCAGCUCUAUGCCAAAAAGCCAAUAUUUGAUGCACUGGGAAUUCAAAUGUUUGCAGUUCUUCAUGAACAUAUAGAAUCAGAGGUGCCUGGUAUACUUCAAAAUAUUUCUCCAAUAAACUCCUAUUUCAUUUCCUCAGAUAUCAAAUCUUGAUGCAGAUAAAAGACUUUUGGCCACGUUAUUGGGGUGGGGUUGUGGUCUUCGACCGGACUACGGGAUUCUUCAAAGCUCUUGGAGGUGGGAAAUUACUUAAAGACAAGUUUCUAUCAGGAUUUGUGUUCAACCCCAGGGCUAUUGCAAAUUAUAAACGUGCAAAAUCUAUGGGAAUAGAACAAAAUUUCAAAGGAGAAGGUGAAAUUAAGGGUGGCCUUUUUGUAGUUGGUCCAGGAGGAACUGGAAUAGCUUACCAGUUUAUAGAGAGGAAUUUUGGAGAUUGGGCUCCUGUAGCUGAAGUUGUAGAGAUAUGUGCUCGAUUAAAAGUAAUUGCUAGGAACUCUCUUAAUUCCAAAUCAUGGUAUCACUAAUUAUCAUCCAAUUAACGCAAACCAACUUUUGUUUCUACAAAAUGGUGCAGAAUCAACAGCAAGAUGAAGGAGAUUCUAGCAGAUCACCGCAAGAACACAAGUGAAGUGGUUCCUCAUAGUUCAAACUUUCUAUCGUUGUUGGAAUAAACAAAGUGCAUGCAAUGUUCUCGGUCUUUAACAUUGCUCAACGGCUUGUAUUAUGAAAUGGAGAAUACCACUACGGAUUGGAUUGACAUUCUCUUUUUGAAUAAAAUGCAAUUCGAUGAUUCAUAAUAACAUAAAAUUUGAGAGAAACAAUAAUUAUGUACCUUCUCAAAGGUGUUGGAUUUUUGAAGAAGGAGAGGUUGAAACCGAAGCAAAAGAUGAAAA